Molecule: ribosomal RNA, 120 nt
Filed under: uncultured bacterium
Lineage: Bacteria
Description: partial 16S ribosomal RNA
Rfam family: Bacterial small subunit ribosomal RNA
Source: RNAcentral
CUAGCUGUAAACGAUGAGCACUUAUCUGGGGAUCCUCCCAUAGGUUCCCGGAUGUAGCGAAAGUGUUAAGUGCUCCGCCUGGGGAGUAUGGUCGCAAGGCUGAAACUCAAAGAAAUUGAC